RNAcentral lists this ribosomal RNA (769 nucleotides) under uncultured soil bacterium. Its description in RNAcentral is "bacterial SSU rRNA". It matches the Rfam family "Bacterial small subunit ribosomal RNA", at positions 8 to 796 of the family's 1533-position model. The record is from RNAcentral.
AGAGUUUGAUCCUGGCUCAGGACGAACGCUUGCGGCGUGCCUAAGAAAUGCAAGUCGAACGGGCAUCAGUAAUGGUGUCAGUGGCGAACGGUCGCGUAACACGUAAGCAACCUGCCCACGAGUGGGGGAUACCGUUCCGAAAGGGACGUUAAUACCGCAUAUGCUUGAACUAACGCAUGUUUGGUUCAUGUAAAGCUUGAUGCGCUUGUGGAUGGGCUUGCGGCCUAUCAGGUAGUUGGUGGGGUAAUGGCCUACCAAGCCGUUGACGGGUAGCUGGUCUGAGAGGACGAUCAGCCGGAUUGGGACUGAGAUACGGCCCAGACUCCUACGGGGGGCAGCAAUUAGGAAUCUUGCACAAUGGGGGAAACCCUGAUGCAGCGACGUCGCGUGGAGGAUGACGGCCUUCGGGUUGUAAACUCCUUUUGGCAGGGAAGAAGAAAGUGACGGUACCUGUCGAAUAAGCCCCGGCUAACUACGUGCCAGCAGCCGCGGUAAUACGUAGGGGGCGAGCGUUGUCCGAAGUUACUGGGCGUAAAGGGCGCGUAGGCGGCCUGUUAAGUUUGAGGUGAAAGGUUCAACGCUCAACGUGAACAGUGCCUUGAAUACUGGCAGGCUUGAAUUUGGGAGAGGAUGACGGAAUUCCUGGUGUAGCGGUGAAAUGCGUAGAUAUCAGGAGGAACCCCGGUGGCGAAGGCGGUCAUCUGGCCUAAAAUUGACGCUGAGGCGCGAAAGCGUGGGGAGCGAACGGGAUUAGAUACCCCCGUAGUCC